This 253-nucleotide ribosomal RNA is filed under the name uncultured bacterium. Its description in RNAcentral is "partial 16S ribosomal RNA". It matches the Rfam family "Bacterial small subunit ribosomal RNA", at positions 524 to 776 of the family's 1533-position model. The record is from RNAcentral.
CACGUAGGCACCAAGCGUUGUCCGGAUUUAUUGGGCGUAAAGAGCUCGUAGGCGGUUCGAUAAGUCGGAUGUGAAAGCCCCGGGCUCAACCCGGGAAGUGCACUCGAUACUGCCGAGCUAGAGUAUCGGAGAGGUUGGUGGAAUUCUCGGUGUAGAGGUGAAAUUCGUAGAUAUCGAGAGGAACACCGGUGGCGAAGGCGGCCAACUGGACGAAUACUGACGCUGAGACUCGAAAGCGUGGGGAGCAAACAGG